CCGAGCACACGACCCCGGCCUGAGGUUGGUGGUGGGAAGCCCACCGCCGUUUGCUGCGACCUCAUGGAGGGUGGCGCAGGGAGUAGCAACAAAUCUACCAGCGGUUUAGCUGGCUUUUUCGGAGCCGGAGGAGCGGGUUACUGGAACGCUGAUCUGAUCUGGCCGGCGUCCCGCUGACUGGUAUGAACCCCCUGUCUCCUUAUUUAAAUGUGGAUACUGAUGAAUUUAUUUUGCCAACUGGAGCUAAUAAAACCCGAGGCAGAUUUGAGCUAGCUUUCUUUACCAUUGGAGGGUGUUGCAUGACAGGGGCUGCAUUCGGGGCAAUGAACGGUCUUCGUUUAGGAUUGAAGGAAACCCAGAGCAUGGCCUGGUCCAAACCAAGAAAUGUACAGAUUUUGAAUAUGGUGACUAGGCAAGGGGCACUUUGGGCUAAUACUCUAGGUUCCCUGGCUUUGCUCUAUAGUGCUUUUGGUGUUAUCAUUGAGAAAACACGGGGUGCAGAAGAUGACCUCAACACAGUAGCAGCUGGAACCAUGACAGGAAUGUUGUAUAAAUGUACAAGUGGUCUUCGAGGAAUAGCACGAGGUGGCCUGGCAGGACUGACACUCACCAGUCUCUAUGCACUGUAUAACAACUGGGAGCACAUGAAAGGUUCCCUGCUCCAACAGUCACUCUGAAGAUUUUUGCCACCUCGGGAGUGGGGGACACUUCAUAGUCAUCCAGAUCAAUUAAUAAGUCAGUCUGGAGUUGCUUUCUCUCUUGUACCUACAAUUACUUUGAACAAUUGGAGACUCUGAUUUGCUGUGACAAAGAUCAUGGAUGGUUAGCCUGGACUGCACUGCUUGCCCUCAGUGAGUGGAAGCCAAACCCUUUGGUGGUUCACUGAGUAUGUGUUCUCUUCUCCUUUGGAGAUGAUCUUGCACCUCUUAUCCCCAAACUGGAAAACCACUUACUCUCCAAAUUCAGGCCAUACUUUUAUUACCAUGUUAAUUCAUUUAAAAAUCUAAAACUUAAUGUUGCCCUGUUUUCCAAAUAAAGGGUGAAAAUAGAACCAAAGUUAUAAUUCCAACA
This is a non-coding RNA of Arvicanthis niloticus (Nile rat), 1071 nucleotides long. NCBI's taxonomy places the organism in Eukaryota, Metazoa, Chordata, Mammalia, Rodentia, Muridae. The record is from RefSeq and is a predicted model, not a curated record.